UGAAGCGCAGGGAAUGUACACACCGCGCUGCUGUGUGUUUCCCUUCCUAUCCGCACCUUUCCUUGUUUCUCCGUCCUCAAAUCACCUUCCUCUCGCUCACCCAGGCACACACACACACACACAUAUAUAUAUAUAUAUACGCCUCAUUCACUGUAGUGCCCUGUUCUUCCUCGAGCGUGUGUGUGCAGCAACUCGAACGCACUGCUGCAGAGUCGAAGGCUUUUGCUCGUUGCGGAGCUAUCCACACACCUGCGCGCACGCGCUCCAUUCUCCCUUUCCUUCUAGCUUGGUGUGGCCGGUCUGUUGCCGCGAUGAUGGAGAGCCCCCGCUCGCUAUCCGGUCGCGAAGAGGUACGCGUCUUCCAGAGCACGCUCGACAAGCGGACUGUGACGACGACUGUCUUCGCUCAGCCUUCGUUCUACAUGGGCCUGGGCAGUGCCUUGGUGAUGGUGCUGACACAGCGCUUCCCAGAGGAGCUCAUGCACCGCAAGUACCUUAGCAUGUCGUACAACGGCAUCCGUGCACCAUCGCUGCUGGUCAUUCCCUUCUGCGCUAUCAGCGGCAUGUACUUCUCCGUUGCCAGCGUUAUCACUGCUGCGCCCACGCCGCUUGUAGGCCAUCUAUUCGGGUACGGGGUGAGUGUAGGUGUUGGGCUCACCAUGUUGUGGUUGCGGCGCGUCUCGUGGUACUACCCUCUCCUUGGCCUCAUGUAUCUGUCAUUUGGCGGUCUGCACCACUAUCGCAAGAUGAUGGUGUACGGUGACAACGCCCCUAUCUUUUACUGGUCGGACUUUGGCGAGAUCUACCGUGACAGAAAAGCGCGCCGCCUGGAGAAGAAGCGGUGCACCGAAGAGAAGGCCAUGGUGCAACAAGAGCGUGCAAUCGAGUAGUGACGAUGGCAGCGGCACCGGCGAGGCCCCCUCCCCCUCAGAUCCUCAGCGAGUACGGCGGCCACGUGCGCAGGGCGCGCAUCUGCCGCACCUACGCACGCUGGUUAAUGUCGCUUUUUCGCCUCUCCCCUCUCCACAUGUCUCUCUGUUUCUGUGCCGUGCCGGCGACACAGUUACGACCACGACGGCAGUGCCACGUACCGUGCCACCAUCCCCCCAUCCGCCUGGACACUCACACGCGACUAACGAAGCGGAAGCAUGGACACAUCAAGGAGCGCUCUCGCCCCCCUCUCCCACUCACCCACCCCACACACGC
This 1206-nucleotide unclassified non-coding RNA is filed under the name Leishmania donovani. RNAcentral describes it as "gene:LdHU3.21.0160(CDS-product:hypothetical_prote in_conserved)". The record is from RNAcentral. Lineage: Eukaryota; Euglenozoa; Kinetoplastea; Trypanosomatida; Trypanosomatidae.